This 517-nucleotide ribosomal RNA is filed under the name uncultured bacterium. RNAcentral describes it as "bacterial SSU rRNA". It matches the Rfam family "Bacterial small subunit ribosomal RNA", at positions 777 to 1291 of the family's 1533-position model. The record is from RNAcentral.
AAUAGAUACCCGGGUAGUCCACGCCGUAAACGAUGAUAACUAGCUGUCUGGGUUCAUGGAACUUAGGUGGCGCAGCUAACGCAUUAAGUUAUCCGCCUGGGGAGUACGGUCGCAAGAUUAAAACUCAAAGGAAUUGACGGGGGCCUGCACAAGCGGUGGAGCAUGUGGUUUAAUUCGAGGCAACGCGCAGAACCUUACCAGCGUUUGACAUCCUCAUCGCGGAUUUCAGAGAUGAUUUCCUUCAGUUCGGCUGGAUGAGUGACAGGUGCUGCAUGGCUGUCGUCAGCUCGUGUCGUGAGAUGUUGGGUUAAGUCCCGCAACGAGCGCAACCCUCGUCCUUAGUUGCCAUCAUUCAGUUGGGGCACGUCUAAGGAAACCGCCGGUGAUAAGCCGGAGGAAGGUGGGGAUGACGUCAAGUCCUCAUGGCCCUUACGCGCUGGGCUACACACGUGCUACGAAUGGCAGGUACAGUGGCAGCAAACCCGCGAGGUGAGCUAAUCUCCAAAACCUGUCUCGU